AACGCUGGCAGGAGGCCUAACACAUGCAAGUCGAGCGGAUGAACGGGAGCUUGCUCCCUGAUUCAGCGGCGGACGGGUGAGUAAUGCCUAGGAAUCUGCCUGGUAGUGGGGGACAACGUACCGAAAGGAGCGCUAAUACCGCAUACGUCCUGAGGGAGAAAGUGGGGGAUCUCGGACCUCACGCUAUCAGAUGAGCCUAGGUCGAUUAGCUAGUUGGUGGGGUAAUGGCUCACCUAGGCGACGAUCCGUAACUGGUCUGAGAGGAUGAUCAGUCACACUGGGAACUGAGACACGGUGCAGACUCCUACGGGAGGCAGCAGUGGGGAAUAUUGGACAAUGGGCGAAAGCCUGAUCCAGCCAUGCCGCGUGUGUGAAGAAGGUCUUCGGAUUGUAAAGCACUUUAAGUUGGGAAGAAGGGCAGUAAGUUAUACCUUGCUGUUUGACGUUACCACAUUGGACAUGGAUGUCCUGUCUACCUGCCGCGUGCGUU
RNAcentral lists this ribosomal RNA (490 nucleotides) under Pseudomonas citronellolis. RNAcentral describes it as "bacterial SSU rRNA". It matches the Rfam family "Bacterial small subunit ribosomal RNA", at positions 32 to 521 of the family's 1533-position model. Lineage: Bacteria; Pseudomonadati; Pseudomonadota; Gammaproteobacteria; Pseudomonadales; Pseudomonadaceae. The record is from RNAcentral.